UUUUAUGGUAGGAAAGGGCCCGGGGUGGAUGCCUGGGCGGCCGGAGGCGAUGAAGGGCGUGGCAAGCUGCGAUAAGCCCGGGGGAGGCGCAAGCAGCCUGUGAUCCCGGGAUGCCCGAAUGGGGAAACCCACCGAGGGGAAACCCUCGGUAUCCUCUGGGCAAAACCCAGAGGAGGCGAUACCCCCCGAAGUGAAACAUCUCAGUAGGGGGAGGAAAAGAAAUCAACCGAGAUUCCCCGAGUAGCGGCGAGCGAAAGGGGAGGAGCCUAAACCUUGUGGGUGCAAAAGCCCGCCGGCGUUGCCCACAAGGGGUCGCGGGAUACACCCGGAGGGAGCGGCGGAUCCCUCAGGGAGUUACAAAAUCUGGGGAUAGCCGAAGAGGUCUGGAAAGGCCCGCCAUAGAGGGUGAUAGCCCCGUAGGCGAAAUCCCCAGAUCUCCCGGGGGUGUAUUCCCGAGUACCACGGCCCACGUGAAAGGUCGUGGGAAUCUGGGGGGACCACCCUCCAAGGCUAAAUACUACCGGCCGACCGAUAGCGCACUAGUACCGUGAGGGAAAGGUGAAAAGAACCCCGGAGAGGGGAGUGAAAGAGAACCUGAAACCCCGGGUCUACGGACUGCGGAAGGGCUAUCCCCGAAAGGGGAAGCGCGCCCGACCGCGUGCCUUUUGCGUAAUGAGCCGGCGAGUUGCCGUCAGUGGCAAGGUUAAGGCCCUCUGGGCCGGAGCCGUAGGGAAACCGAGUCCGAACAGGGCGACAAAGUCGCUGGCGGCAGACCCGAAGCGCCACGAUCUACCCAUGCCCAGGGUGAAGGACGGGUAAAACCGUCCGGAGGCCCGAACGGGUCAGGGUUGAAAACCUGUCCGAUGAGGUGUGGGUAGGAGUGAAAAGCUAAUCGAGUGGCGGUAUAGCUGGUUCCCCCCGAAAUGCAUCUAAGUGCAGCCUCACGAAAUGCACCGUGGGGGUAGAGCCACCGCUUAGGCUACCGGGAGGGAAACCUUCCGGAACCUAGGCGAACUCCGAAUACCACGGUGCAGUAGUGGGAGUGAGUGGCCCGGGGAUAAGCUCGGGUCACGAGAGGGGAACAACCCAGACCCUCGGCUAAGGCCCCUAAAUCCGGGCUAAGUGAGGAAGGAUGUCUACCCGCUAAGACAGCUGGGAUGUUGGCUUAGAAGCAGCCAUCAUUUAAAGAGUGCGUAACAGCUCACCAGCCGAGCGGGUAGGCGCCGAAAAUGUAACGGGACUCAAGCCCGGUGCCGAAGCCAGGGGUCAGGAUGUGCUGCGGCACAUCCUGGCGGUAGGGGGGCGUUCCAGGUCCGUUGAAGCUCGACCGAAAGGACGGGUGGAGGGCCUGGAAGUGAGAAUGCCGGCAUGAGUAACGAGAGGGAGGUGAGAAUCCUCCCGCCCGUAAGCCCAAGGUUUCCUGCUCAACGCCCAUCGGAGCAGGGUUAGCCGGGACCCUAAGGUGAGGCCGAAAGGCGUAGCCGAUGGGAAAGUGGGUUCAACAUUCCCCGCCACUCUGGAGCGCUAAAGCAGCGCUGUGACGGCUCCGUAGGGUGCGGUGGGUUGAAGGAUUGCCCGCCGCUAUCUGAAAGGGGUCCAAGAAAGAACAGGCUGCUUUGCUCCAGAGUGCCCGUACCGCAAACCGACACAGGUGGGCUCCGGGCCAAGCCCGGGAGGGUAGCGGGUGAAACCCCCCUAAGGAACUCGGCAAAUUGGCCCCGUAACUUCGGGAGAAGGGGCGCCCAUCCCGUGCAAGCGGGAAUGGGUCGCAGGAAAUUGGCGGUGGGGACUGUUUACUAAAAACACAGGUCUCUGCCAACCCGAAAGGGGACGUAUAGGGACUGAGGCCUGCCCGGUGCCCGAAGGUGAAGGUAAGGGGUUAGCCGCAAGGCGAAGCUCCGAGCCUAAGCCCGGGUAAACGGAGGCCGUAACUCUGACGGUCCUAAGGUAGCGUAAUCCCUUGCCGGGUAAGUUCCGGCCUGCAUGAAUGGCUUAACCACUGCCGCUCUGUCUCAGGGGGGUGCCCGGUGAAAAUGUAGUGGGGGUGAAGAUGCCCCCGACCCGCGGCAGGACGGAAAGACCCCGUGCAGCUUUACUGCAGUCUGGCGCUGAACUCCGGGAGACCCUGCGCAGGAUAGGUGGGAGCCUGAGAAGUCCCCGCUCCGGCGGGGAUGGAGGCGCCGGUGAGAUACCACCCUGGAUCUCUUGGAGUUCUAACCCCGCCCGUCAACCCGGACGGGGGACACCGCCAGGCGGGCAGUUUUCCUGGGGCGGGAUCUCCCGAAAAAGUAUCGGGAGAGCGCAAAGGUGCCCUCAGCCGGGAUGGAAAUCCGGCCUUGAGUGCAAGGGCAUAAGGGCGCCUGACUGCGAGGGGGACACCCCGAGCAGACGCGAAAGCGGGCCCUAGUGACCCGGCGGUCCCAUGUGGGAGGGCCGUCGAUCAGCGGAUAAAAGCUACGCCGGGGAUAACAGACUAAUUUCCCCCGAGAGUUCACAUCGACGGGGGAGUUUGGUACCUCGAUGUCGGCUCACCCCAUCCUGGGGCUGAAGAAGGUCCCAAGGGUCGGGCUGUUCGCCCGUUAAAGGGGUACGCGAGCUGGGUUUAAACCGUCGUGAGACAGGUUGGUCCUUAUCCGCCGCGGGCGCAGGAGGACUGAGGGGAGCUGGUCCUAGUACGAGAGGACCGGACUGGGGCAGCCUCUGGUGUACCGGUUGUCCCUCCAGGGGCAUCACGCCGGGUAGCCAUGCUGCCACGGGAUAACCGCUGAAGGCAUCUAAGCGGGAAGCCCACCCCAAGAUAAGUCCUCCCUGAAGGGCCCUCGGAGACUACGAGGUUGAUAGGCCCGAGGUGUAAGCGCCGCAAGGCGUUGAGCCGACGGGUACUAAUCGCCCGUUCGCCAUAAAAAC
RNAcentral lists this ribosomal RNA (2907 nucleotides) under Candidatus Calescibacterium sp. RNAcentral's name for it is "23S ribosomal RNA". It matches the Rfam family "Bacterial large subunit ribosomal RNA". Lineage: Bacteria; Candidatus Calescibacteriota; Candidatus Calescibacteriales; Candidatus Calescibacteriaceae. The record is from RNAcentral.